AUGGAGGCCAGGCUUGAAGCUAUGGAGCAGGAGGUCGUCUGGUGCAAGGGGAUGCUGAAACGUGGAUUCAAUGCCAAUCACCUCAUGAUCACGGACUACACCCGUGAUCUCAAGGUGGAUGGCAAGUCCAUGAAGGACAUCGUCUUCAUGUUCAAUGAGCAAAUCAACUUCCUCCAAAGCCAGAUCUACGAUCUCCAAAAUCAAGUCUUUGAAUAUGAGGUGAGGUUUAAAGGUAUGAGUUUGGCUGCCCGUUGCAGGACCCGUGAGACUCACUCCUCCUCUUAUGAUGGUGAGCCUCUGCCAUGGAAACCCAAGGAUAAGAUUGCUACUUCAUCACCACCACUUCCUUCUUCAUCACCAAAAGAAAAUUGA
RNAcentral lists this ribosomal RNA (372 nucleotides) under Triticum aestivum (bread wheat). Its description in RNAcentral is "partial small subunit ribosomal RNA". The record is from RNAcentral. Lineage: Eukaryota; Viridiplantae; Streptophyta; Magnoliopsida; Poales; Poaceae.